RNAcentral lists this unclassified non-coding RNA (579 nucleotides) under Zea mays. Its description in RNAcentral is "misc RNA Zm00001eb135140". The record is from RNAcentral. Lineage: Eukaryota; Viridiplantae; Streptophyta; Magnoliopsida; Poales; Poaceae.
GGGGGGGCGAGCAGAGCUGCUGCUCGGCCAUGGGAGAGAGGGGGCGCUGGGGGAGGGGUGGAGCAGCGGCGCUGCGCAGGAAGGGGCGCCGAGCAUAGGGAACUUCAGGCGCCCAAGCUGCUGGCCGAGCAGAGGUCCGGCCAUGGCUGCCUCUACCCCUGCGCAAGGGAGACCAGGGAUGGACGCCAUGUGCAGGAGCUCGGCUGCAGGGGGGACGCGCCCAUGGGGAAGAGGAGGAGCUGCAGCUCGCCUACACCCUUGGAGCCGAGGAGAGGAAGGGCGCCAUGGGGGGGCUCUGUGUCCUGCUGCAAGCGCCAUGGGAGAGGCUUGCUGCCGUGGAGGCUGUCGGCUGGAGCAGAGGGGCGAGAGGAACUCGUCUGCGCCAAGGAAGGGAGCAGGGAGCGCCAGGGUUGGGUGCUCGGCUGCUCAAGCCUCGUCGGUGCCAUGGGAGGAAGGGAAGGAAGCUCCCUGCGCGUUGGGGAAGAAGGCGUGGGGGAGAAAAGGCUGAUGGCGGCUGGAAAAACAAUAGGGGUGGGAAUGCAAAAUGACCAAGGGCAAGGGAGAGGGAUCCGUAUUUAU